AGCAGCCGCGGUAAUUCCAGCUCCAAUAGCGUAUAUUAAAGUUGUUGCAGUUAAAAAGCUCGUAGUUGAAUUUCGAGACCGGCUUACUGGUCGUGCUUUUGUACGUACUGGUAUAAUCGGUUUCUCCUUUCUGACGAACUAUAAUGCCAUUAAUUUGGUGUUAUAGGGAAUCAGGACUGUUACUUUGAAAAAAUUAGAGUGUUUAAAGCAGGCUCACGCUUGAAUACAUUAGCAUGGAAUAACGGAAUAGGACGUUUGAUUCUAUUUUGUUGGUUUCUAGGAUCGACGUAAUGAUUAAUAGGGAUAGUUGGGGGCAUUAGUAUUCAAUUGUCAGAGGUGAAAUUCUUGGAUUUAU
RNAcentral lists this ribosomal RNA (355 nucleotides) under uncultured Glomus. RNAcentral's name for it is "SSU rRNA". It matches the Rfam family "Eukaryotic small subunit ribosomal RNA", at positions 569 to 929 of the family's 1831-position model. The record is from RNAcentral. Lineage: Eukaryota; Fungi; Glomeromycota; Glomeromycetes; Glomerales; Glomeraceae.